GUUCAACGAUUUGAAAAAUCGUUCACAAUAAAUUAAAUUUCAGACAGACUUGUUUCCGUCUCGACAAAAUUUAAAUAGGUCAAAUAUGCAUUUAAUUUCCGCACGAAUGAAAUGAAUUUGUCUGGAGCUUUGUAAGCGCUCUGCCUUUCGUUUUUGCAGCCCCAGUGCCUCCAGCUGUCAAAUACAUAAAGCACAAGCAAAGUGUGCCUGGCUGACUGACUCGCAGCGAAUGUCCUGCCCUCCUACCAGAUCCUUGCCAUUUCCCACUGCUCUCGAGCUCAAGAGAACACGUGUUCGGGCCACCUUCCGCCUCGACCAUGGACUGUUCCGUACACUUAACUUAUUUGGCUCCAUUAAAAUCUUGCUAAAUAAAU
This is a non-coding RNA of Drosophila melanogaster (fruit fly), 374 nucleotides long. The record is from Ensembl. Lineage: Eukaryota; Metazoa; Arthropoda; Insecta; Diptera; Drosophilidae.